RNAcentral lists this ribosomal RNA (440 nucleotides) under uncultured bacterium. RNAcentral's name for it is "partial 16S ribosomal RNA". It matches the Rfam family "Bacterial small subunit ribosomal RNA", at positions 338 to 795 of the family's 1533-position model. The record is from RNAcentral.
CCUACGGGAGGCAGCAGUGGGGAAUAUUGCACAAUGGGGGAAACCCUGAUGCAGCAACGCCGCGUGAGUGAAGACGUAUCUCGGUUCGUAAACCUCUGUCCUCAGGGAAGAAUAUUAACGUAACUUACUAAGCAACCCAGGCUAACUACGUGCCAGCAGCCGCCGUAAUACGUAGGGGGCCAGCGUUUUCCGGAAUUACUGGGUUUAAAGGGGGCGUAGGCGGGAGGCUAAGUUAGAGGUGAAAUCCCAGGGCUUAACUUCGAGACUGCCGGUGAUACUGGUCUGCUAGAGAGAAGUAGGGGUAGGCGGAAUUCAGGGUGUAGCGGUGAAAUGCGUAGAGAUUCGACAGAACACCGGUGGCGAAGGCGGCCAACUAGGCUUUAACUGACGCUGAGGCACGAAAGUGUGGGGAGCAAACAGGAUUAGAUACCCUAGUAGUC